ACUCAAAGGAAUAGACGGGGGCCCGCACAAGCGGAGGAACAUGUGGUUUAAUUCGAUGAUACGCGAGGAACCUUACCUGGGUUUGAACGUAAGAUGACAGGGCCGGAAACGGUUUUUCCCUUCGGGGCAUUUUACGAGGUGCUGCAUGGUUGUCGUCAGCUCGUGCCGUGAGGUGUCGGAUUAAGUUCCAUAACGAGCGCAACCCUUAUCGUUAGUUGCCAUCGGGUCAAGCUGGGGACUCUAACGAAACUGCCGGUGUAAACCGUGAGGAAGGUGGGGAUGACGUCAAAUCAGCACGGCCCUUACAUCCAGGGCUACACACGUGUUACAAUGGCCAUUACAAAGGGCAGCUACUUCGCGAGAAGAUGCUAAUCUCUAAAGAUGGUCUCAGUUCGGAUUGAAGUCUGUAACCCGACUUCAUGAAGCUGGAUUCGCUAGUAAUCGCGCAUCAGCCAUGGCGCGGUGAAUACGUUCCCGGGCCUUGUACACACCGCCCGU
Molecule: ribosomal RNA, 498 nt
Filed under: uncultured bacterium
Lineage: Bacteria
Description: bacterial SSU rRNA
Rfam family: Bacterial small subunit ribosomal RNA
Source: RNAcentral